RNAcentral lists this small nuclear RNA (126 nucleotides) under Zooxanthella nutricula. Its description in RNAcentral is "Brandtodinium nutricula partial Dictyostelium signal recognition particle". Lineage: Eukaryota; Dinophyceae; Peridiniales. The record is from RNAcentral.
GGCCGCAUCCACAUCGGCGUCGACAGGCAUACAGCCGCGAAAUAUGGGUUCGACGACAAGGUGUUUUACGACGAGGUCGACGCGAAGUCUGGCCAUUACGGCCUCCGCAGGAUGGGGUACAUCGCG